Molecule: long non-coding RNA, 703 nt
Filed under: Homo sapiens (human)
Lineage: Eukaryota; Metazoa; Chordata; Mammalia; Primates; Hominidae
Description: HSALNT0189863
Source: RNAcentral
AUUCAAAUAUGUAAGAAAUAGCUUUUUACUCCUCUUCUCAUUUAAAAAUUUCCAAAGGGUAAAUAAACGGAAAAGGACAAAAAUACCUCUUGUGCCUAAUAAAUAGUAAAUUUUCUUUUUUUUUUUUCUUUUUUUGAGACGGAGUCUCGCUCUGUCACCCAGGCUGGAGUGCAGUGGUGCGAUCUCAGCUCACUGCAACCUCUGCCUCUUGGGUUCACGCCAUUCUCCUGCCUCAGUCUCCUGAGUAGCUGGGCUACAGGUGCCCGCCACCAUGCCUGGCUAUUUUUUAUAUUUUUAGUAGAGAUGGGGUUUCACCGUGUUAGCCAGUGUCUCGAUCUCCUGACCUUGUCAUUCUCCCAUCUCGGCCUCCCAAAGUGCUGGGAUUACAGGUGUGAGCCACCAUGCCCGGCCAAUACAUAGUAAAUUUUCUAUACUGAUAAACACUGCUAGAAGAAACUGGAGCUGGAAAUUUCAAAGAGGGAUGGAAAGUCAGGGUCCAGUUCUGGACAUUUCUUAGAAAGGCAGCCACGGCCGGAUGCGGUGGCUCAUGCCUGUAAUCACGCCACCGGCUCAUGCGGUGGCUCAAGCACUUUGGGAGGGCUGGGGAACUUAGACAUAUCGCCAAGUCAGACUGAGAUGAGAACUUCUAAUCUUACAUGUUUAAUACCAAACACAAAGCAAACACAUUCAUCAUCUAGAGUAC